This 2913-nucleotide ribosomal RNA is filed under the name Candidatus Peregrinibacteria bacterium. RNAcentral describes it as "bacterial LSU rRNA". It matches the Rfam family "Bacterial large subunit ribosomal RNA". The record is from RNAcentral. Lineage: Bacteria; Candidatus Peregrinibacteriota.
UUAAAAAAAUAAAUAAAGUUAAGGCGCAUAGUGGAUGCCUCGACUUCUGCUUCCGAUGAAGGACGUUGUAGACGACGAUAACUUCGGCGAGUUGUCAAACAAGCAUUGACCCGGAGAUUUCCGAAUGGGGAAACCCAGUAAGAGUAAUGUCUUAUUACUUCCGUUUGAAAAAAUAAGGCGGAUAGAGGAAACGUAGUGAACUGAAACAUCUAAGUAACUACGGAAAAUAAAUCAAACGAGAUUCCCUGAGUAGUGGCGAACGAAACGGGAAAAGCCCAAACCUGUCUUCGGACAGGGGUUGUAGGACCUCAACAUCUAGUAUAAUUUUAUAGGAGAACGAUUUGGAAAAGUCGGCUAUAAAGGGUGAAAGCCCCGUAUCUGAAAUUAAAUUAUACCGGUAGAGUGUUCCUGAGUAGGUUCGGACACGUGAAAUCCGGAUUGAAUCUGGGGGGACCACCCUCCAAGGCUAAACAGAGCAGAAGAUCGAUAGUGUACAAGUACCGUGAGGGAAAGGUGAAAAGUAUCCCGGGAGGGAGGUGAAAUAGUUCCUGAAACUAUGUGCUGUCAAAGAGUAGGAGCCCACUUGAUGGGUGACUGCGUGCUUUUUGUAGAACGAGCCAACGAGUUAGCUGUAUGUAGCAAGGUUAAGGGGGAAACACCCGGAGCCGAAGCGAAAGCGAGUCUUAAUAGGGCGAAUAAGUUACAUGCACUAGACCCGAAACCAGGUGAGCUUACCAUGGGCAGGUUGAAGCAGUAGUAAAAUACUGUGGAGGACCGCACCAGUACGUGUUGCAAGACGUUUGGAUGACCUGUGGUAGGAGGUAAAAUGCUAAUCGAACCUGGAGAUAGCUGGUUCUCUCCGAAAUAGCUUUAGGGCUAGCCUCAAGAUUUAAUCUAGGGGGGUAGAGCUCUGUUAAGACUAGGGCCCUUGUCCAGGGUACCAACUCUUGACAAACUUCGAAUACCCUUUUGUACAUCUUGGGAGUCAGACUGCGACAGCUAAGUGCCGUAGUCGCAAGGGAAACAGCCCAGACCCACAGCUAAGGUCCCUAAUAUAUACUAAGUGGAAAAGGAAGUAAGAUCACUUAAACAGCCAGGAGGUUGGCUUAGAAGCAGCCAUUCCUUUAAAGAGUGCGUAACAGCUCACUGGUCGAUGUGAUUUUGCGCCGAAAAAGUAACGGGGCUAAGUAUAUAACCGAAGCUUGGGAUUUCAUCAUUUAUGAUGGAGUGGUAGGAGAGCGUUCGUAUCUGCGUUGAAGUCAGACCGUGAGGUCUGGUGGAGUGAUACGAAGUGAGAAUGUUGGCAUGAGUAAGUAAAAUCUUAGUGAAAAACUAAGACACCGCAAGACCAAGGUUUCCCACGCAACGAUAAUCGACGUGGGGUUAGUCGGUCCUAAGGCGAGGCCGAAAGGCGUAGUCGAUGGACAACAGGUUAAUAUUCCUGUACUAGUAAGUUUUUGUUUGACGUAUGGAGUGACGGAGUAUGGUAGUGAGAGCCGGCGAAUGAAUGUCGGUGUAAGUGUCUAGGCGUUGAUGGCUGGAGAAAACAGCUUGAGCAGAAGCACGAUGCCGAUUGCCGAAACGAAAGUUUUGGUGAGUCUCGCGACCCAAACUUCCAAGAAAACCUUCAUAUUAGAUACUUACUAUCCGUACCGCAAACCAACGCAGGUGGUCGAGUCGAGUAGACUCAGGUGUUCGGGAAAACUAGCGUAAAGGAACUCGGCAAAAGAGCGUCCGUAACUUCGGGAUAAGGACUUCUCUCGUUUAUUCGAGAGGCACAGUAAAAGAGCCCAGGCGACUGUUUAUCAAAAACACAGGUCUCUGCUAACUCUACAAGAGGAAGUAUAGGGGCUGACCCCUGCCCGGUGCCAGAAGGUUAAGAGGAGGUGUGCAAGCAUCGAAUUGAAGCCCUGGUGAACGGCGGCCGUAACUAUAACGGUCCUAAGGUAGCGAAAUUCCUUGUCGGGUAAGUUCCGACCCGCACGAAUGGGGUAACGAUCUGGGCACUGUCUCUACGCUAGACCCGCUGAAAUUGCAGUAUCGGUAAAAAUGCCGAUUAACCACGGUUAGACGGAAAGACCCUAUGGAGCUUUACUACAGCCUGAUGUUGAUUUUCGGAAUAUAAUGUGUAGGAUAGGUGGGAGACUUUGAAGCAAAGACGCUAGUUUUUGUGGAGUCAUCCUUGAAAUACCACCCUUUAUAUUUUGCAAAUCUAACCUGCACCCUUAUCGGGUGAAUACAGGAACAGCGUUUGGUGGGUAGUUUAACUGGGGCGGUUGCCUCCUAAAGAGUAACGGAGGCGCGCAAUGGUUAGCUUAGUCCGGAUGGAAAUCGGACUGGACGUGUAUUCGCGUAAGCUAGCUUGACUGAGAGACUGACAGGUCGAACAGGUGCGAAAGCAGGUGAAAGUGAUCCGGCACCUUCCGAGUGGAAGGGGUGUCGCUCAUCGGAUAAAAGUUACCCUAGGGAUAACAGGCUGAUUUCUUCCAAGAGUUCAUAUCGACGAAGAAGUUUGGCACCUCGAUGUCGGCUCAUCGCAUCCUGGGGGUGGAGAAGCUCCCAAGGGUAUGGCUGUUCGCCAUUUAAAGCGGUACGUGAGCUGGGUUCAGAACGUCGUGAGACAGUUUGGCCCCUAUCUGCCGUGGUCGUUUGGAUAAUUGAGAAGGCUUGUUCCUAGUACGAGAGGACCGGAAUGAACGAACCUCUAGUGUAUCUAUUGUACCUGUCAAGGGCAUUGUAGAGUAGCUACGUUCGGAAGAGAUAACCGCUGAAAGCAUCUAAGCGGGAAGCUUGCUUCGAGAUAAAUUAUCCCUAUUGAACUCCCUCGAAGACUACGAGGUUGAUAGGUCACAGAUGUAAGCACAGUGAUGUGUUCAGUCGAGUGAUACUAAUGAGUCAUUGUAUUUAUUUUUU